RNAcentral lists this ribosomal RNA (544 nucleotides) under uncultured bacterium. Its description in RNAcentral is "bacterial SSU rRNA". It matches the Rfam family "Bacterial small subunit ribosomal RNA", at positions 8 to 526 of the family's 1533-position model. The record is from RNAcentral.
AGGGUUUGAUCAUGGCUCAGGACGAACGCUGGCGGCGUGCCUAAUACAUGCAAGUGGAACGCAUGAUUGAUACCGGAGCUUGCUCCACCAUUAAUCAUGAGUCGCGAACGGGUGAGUAACGCGUAGGUAACCUACCUCAUAGCGGGGGAUAACUAUUGGAAACGAUAGCUAAUACCGCAUAACAGUAUUUAUCGCAUGGUAAAUGCUUGAAAGGAGCAACUGCUUCACUAUGAGAUGGACCUGCGUUGUAUUAGCUAGUUGGUGGGGUAACGGCUCACCAAGGCAUCGAUACAUAGCCGACCUGAGAGGGUGAUCGGCCACACUGGGACUGAGACACGGCCCAGACUCCUACGGGAGGCGGCAGUAGGGAAUCUUCGGCAAUGGGGGGAACCCUGACCGAGCAACGCCGCGUGAGUGAAGAAGGUUUUCGGAUCGUAAAGCUCUGUUGUAAGAGAAGAACGUGUGUGAGAGUGGAAAGUUCACACAGUGACGGUAACUUACCAGAAAGGGACGGCUAACUACGUGCCAGCCGCCGCGGUAAUAC